UACGAAGGGGGCUAGCGUUGUUCGGAAUUACUGGGCGUAAAGCGCGUGUAGGCGGGUCUUUAAGUCAGGGGUGAAAUGCCAAGGCUCAACCUCGGAACUGCCUUCGAUACUGCGGGUCUCGAGUCCGGGAGAGGUGAGUGGAAUUCCUAGUGUAGAGGUGAAAUUCGUAGAUAUUAGGAAGAACACCAGUGGCGAAGGCGGCUCACUGGCCCGGUACUGACGCUGAGGCGCGAAAGCGUGGGGAGCAAACAGG
Molecule: ribosomal RNA, 253 nt
Filed under: uncultured bacterium
Lineage: Bacteria
Description: partial 16S ribosomal RNA
Rfam family: Bacterial small subunit ribosomal RNA
Source: RNAcentral